UACGUAGGGUGCGAGCGUUAAUCGGAAUUACUGGGCGUAAAGCGUGCGCAGGCGGUGAUGUAAGACCGAUGUGAAAUCCCCGGGCUUAACCUGGGAACUGCAUUGGUGACUGGCAGGCUUUGAGUGUGGCAGAGGGAGGUAGAAUUCCACGUGUAGCAGUGAAAUGCGUAGAGAAUGUGGAGGAAUACCGAUGGCGAAGGCAGCCUCCUGGGCCAACACUGACGCUCAUGCACGAAAGCGUGGGGAGCAAACAGGA
RNAcentral lists this ribosomal RNA (256 nucleotides) under uncultured bacterium. RNAcentral's name for it is "partial 16S ribosomal RNA". It matches the Rfam family "Bacterial small subunit ribosomal RNA", at positions 524 to 777 of the family's 1533-position model. The record is from RNAcentral.